This 618-nucleotide ribosomal RNA is filed under the name Triticum aestivum (bread wheat). Its description in RNAcentral is "partial small subunit ribosomal RNA". The record is from RNAcentral. Lineage: Eukaryota; Viridiplantae; Streptophyta; Magnoliopsida; Poales; Poaceae.
AUGUCCCACGACACCACCGCGCCCGGCUGUGCCCAAGCCUGCUGCAAUUGCUGCUGCAAUUGGGUCGUGACAUCCAUCAUCAUAGUCACCGUGAUGCUCAUCGCCGCCUACGCCGUCGUCCUCCCGCUCCGCAUCACCGCCGAGGACGCGUCCCUGGGCCGCCUCGCCCUCGCCGGGCCCAACGGCACCGCGCUGGCGUACAACCUCUCCCUCACCGUCGGCCUUUUCAACCCCAACUGGGCCAUGCGGGCCGAGCUCACCGCGCCGCUGGAGUCCGAGCUCAGCUUCGCGGGCGUGCGCUUCGACGGUGCCCGGCUAUCCGACGCGGGGCGGAGGGUCGAGAUCCACGAGACCACCAGGUUCUGCGUGGAGGCGGGGGCUCAAAGCGCGGAUGCGGCGCUCGGGAGCGCCGAGCUGGCGGAGCUGGUGAAGGAGACCGCGGCGGGCCUGUUCGAGUCGCUGGAGCUGAAGAUCACCGGGAGGCUCAGGUACAGGCCGGUGCACGCCGGCGGGACCAGGAGGCUGGAGGCCAGGUGCCCGCUGAAGCCGCGCUUGGCCCCGCCGCCGGGCACGCACAUGCUUGUGCUGGACAGGGUCAUCAAGUGCCACCGACUUUAG